GGGCCCGUAGCUCAGCUAGGCAGAGCGGCGGGCUCCAGUUCGUGCUACGGGUCUAGAGACCCCGUAUGGGGGAUGAUAGAGAACUGGAGAGGAGAGACCCGUAGGUCGGGGGUUCAAAUCCCCCCGGGCCCA
Molecule: transfer RNA, 132 nt
Filed under: Desulfurococcaceae archaeon AG1
Lineage: Archaea; Thermoproteati; Thermoproteota; Thermoprotei; Desulfurococcales; Desulfurococcaceae
Rfam family: tRNA
About the family: Transfer RNA (tRNA) molecules are approximately 80 nucleotides in length. Their secondary structure includes four short double-helical elements and three loops (D, anti-codon, and T loops). Further hydrogen bonds mediate the characteristic L-shaped molecular structure. tRNAs have two regions of fundamental functional importance: the anti-codon, which is responsible for specific mRNA codon recognition, and the 3' end, to which the tRNAs corresponding amino acid is attached (by aminoacyl-tRNA synthetases). tRNAs cope with the degeneracy of the genetic code in two manners: having more than one tRNA (with a specific anti-codon) for a particular amino acid; and 'wobble' base-pairing, i.e. permitting non-standard base-pairing at the 3rd anti-codon position.
Source: Rfam by way of RNAcentral